AGCUGACCAAGGUGGUGCAGGGAGCGGAGCUGCAGGCUGGCCGCUGCGGCUGUGGACGCACGAGCUGACGCAGCGGCUGCUGCAGAAGGUGCAGCAGCGCAAGCGUCUGCUGCUGGACCCCAAGCUGCGGCGCCGCACCGUCUACGCGGAGGUCGCGGCUGAGU
Hyalella azteca is the source of this 164-nucleotide long non-coding RNA. RefSeq lists it as uncharacterized. NCBI's taxonomy places the organism in Eukaryota, Metazoa, Arthropoda, Malacostraca, Amphipoda, Hyalellidae. The record is from RefSeq and is a predicted model, not a curated record. The transcript is spliced from 3 exons.